This 4722-nucleotide long non-coding RNA is filed under the name Sus scrofa (pig). Its description in RNAcentral is "lncRNA (ENSSSCG00000063078.1)". Lineage: Eukaryota; Metazoa; Chordata; Mammalia; Artiodactyla; Suidae. The record is from RNAcentral.
UUGCUAUUUCUUGGGCCGCUCCCACGGCAUAUGGAGGUUCCCAGGCUAGGGGUUGAAUCGGAGCUGUAGCCACCGGCCUACGCGGAGCCACAGCAACGCGGGAUCCGAGCCGCGUCUGGAACCUACACCACAGCUCACGGCAACGCCGGAUCGUUAACCCACUGAGCAAGGGCAGGGACCGAACCCGCGACCUCAUGGUUCCUAGUCGGAUUCGUUAACCACUGCGCCACGACGGGAACUCCUAAUGGAGCUAAUUUUGAAGCAUUAGUAUGCACUUAUUAGGAAACAAGGAGAAUUAAAAAAGGAGCCUUUCAAAAAGAUUUUUUUUACAAAGUCAUGAUAAAAACACAUACAGUCCUAGGGAAUGGCAAGCCAGUUGAGAAGAGAUUUAAAAAGAAGAUAGAGCCAAACAAGGAGGAGACCCAGGUACUGUGCUUCAGAAUUUGAACUCUAUCCUAUGUGUAUUUUAGAAAUGAGAGUAUAAAGCAUUUUUAAAAAAAUGAGAUUAGUAAGACCUUCUUUCUGAAGGUCCUAACGCUAUCGGUUCCGAAAUAAAAUUUAGAAAGCCCAAUGGUUCAUGGUUCCUUGGAUUACAGGUUUCAAUAUAAUUAUAGAAAGCUUUUUAAGCUGAAUGAUGACUGUAUCUAAAAUACACACCAACUUAUUAUAUGCUAAUAAUAGCUAAUAUUGCUUGAUAACUAUGAGCAAAGCACUGCUCUAAAGACUUAGCAGUAGUCAUCUCCUUCAACAUGAGCAAUGACCUUGUGAAGUAGUUACCACUGCCCUCCGACUAUUUACAAAUAAGGAGACUAAGGCAGGGAAAGGGGGCAUAAUUGGUCCACACACACCUGGUAAGCCACAAUCAAGAGUCAAAUUCAUGAAGACUGGCUUCAGCUGUUGUGCUCUUACUCAUGUGGUAUACAAUGUCUCAUCUGUAAUAACUACGACUAAUGGUAUUUCAAAUGCUUACCAUGUACCAAGCUCUGUGCUUUACAAGUAUGACUUACUUAGCCUUCACUGUUAACUUAUCGAACCAGUGUUUCCCCCAUUGUAUAGAUAAGGAGGUUAAGCAACAGAAUUGAAUGCUUUUUUACUUCAACUGUAACACAUGGGCUUUUGGUCCACCAGUCAGUGUUCUUGAGAGUUCCACGUGGUUAGCACAAUUUAACUUUUCUGCUAAAUCUUGAACACAUGUAAAAACCAAGUACUUACUGAAAAAAGAAGGUAUAGGUUAAUCCAUUUUCAAGUUUUGGGCAUGGCACUGAUUCCUACAUAUCUUCAAAUUACCUACUUUAGCUCACUUAGUUACUUCUAAGAAAAUGAAACAUUGAAAAACAACAGAAAUUUCCUAAAUCACUACAGUGAAUGCAAGAGAGAGCAUUAGAGUUCAGGUGAUUGAGAUAAGAUUCCUUAUAAUUAGAUGUGUUAGGAAUAGUUGAAACAGCUGUAGGUAUACCAGUGAGACUGUAAUUGUCUCUUAUGUAUAAGUGCAAAGUUUCCAGGGAUUCCGUUAAGCACUGAUUCCAAGGCUCUGUUUUGAAGCAUAAAAUUCUCUGUAUAACCUUAUUUGGUCAUUUAAAUGCAAAUCAGGAUGCUGCUGCCAUUAUAUUUCAUCUAUCUUUGAUUGUAGAUGGAAAAAAAAAUCACUGCCUUUGCCAAAAGUAUCAAUGGAGAAUACCACAAGAUUUUGCCCUGUAAUUUAAACGCACUAACAAAGAGACGAACUCGACUAGACCAGAAGGUGUUUUCAAAUUUCCGAGUAUCUAACACUAAGAGUAGACCUCAAGUCUUGAGCUUUAUGUCUAGUGCCUUGUCUAUGCUAAUGUAUAGGAUGUAAAUAAGUGGAAAUGAAAAUAAACUAAUCCUCAUUCCCAUCUUGUCAUCACCAAAUGUCAUGCACUUACCACAUUUCAGGGACUCUGCAAGUGCUACACAUCCAUUAUUGGUUAUCUUGGCAGCAGGCCCACAUAUAGAUACUAUUAUUUAUGCUUUAGAGACAGAAAAUAAGCAAAUUCUAGCCAAUAUGAAAACAAAAUUGAGAGGAAUUUUCCAUUGCUAUUUAUGAUCCUAAUAAUCCAACACUAUUAUCAGAAUUCUUGCUUCCACAUAGUAUUGUCCUGGAACAAUUCUUUCGAUUGUGAGGGAAUGUGAGAAAACAAGAACUGUGAUUCGCCUAAGAUCUAGAUAACAAACUGACUGUAGUAUAUAUAACCAAGAGAAUUAGGCAAUUUUUAAAUAAUACUUUCCAUUUCUUUCCAUUUCCAAACAUGGAAAUGAGGUUUUGCGAUUCAAUAGCUCGUUCAAGUCCCCUAGUCAAGUAAGAGCCAGAACUAGUUUUCAAAUGCCAAUCUGUUAGGCUUGAAAUCCAUUAGGUGAGUCUAGGAACCACACAUGGAAAUAAAAAAUAAAUGCAAGAGACAGGUGAAUGUGCCGAAGUUGGCAAAAGUGCUGUCACUUAGUAGUCUCACAGACCUCAUACAUUCAUGCGAUUAUGCUAGCAGGAAAAUGAAGGGCAGCAUGUAACACGUAUAUAUCUCUAUUUUCAUAAACACUUUUGUAAACAUUCAAAUGUAUGUAUUUAGUGGCUUCUAGGUGCUAGAAUUAUCUUCUGAGUGUGUGGAAUAUGUCAGGCAAACAAAGAUUCCUUCCUUGGGGAGUUUACAUUCUAAUGGAAGGGAGGGGAAGAGACAAACAAUAACCAUAACAAAUAAAUACAUUAUAUAGCACAUGGAUAUCAAGCACACUGUGAUUGUGAGCAAGAACAGUCUACAGUAUUAAUAUUUAAUACUGAAGUCUUCAUUAGGGAGGUAAGAUUUUAGCAAAGAUUUGAAGGAGAGGAAUUGGCCCAAUGAUUACUUGAGAAGCAGCGUUCCACGCAGUAGGAAGAGCUAAUGCAAAGACCAUUACAUUGGAGCAUGUGAGGUGUGUUUUAAGAAAUAACGGUGGAGUCCUGGUGGCUGGAAUAGAAUGAAAAAGGGGAAAAGUACUAGGAAAUGGGGUUAGAAAGGUGAUGAAGUGGGGACAGAUACUGUAGAGUAAUGGUAAAGACUUGGGCUUUGAGUGAAAUGGAAAGUUACUGAAGGAUUUUGAAUUGAACGAACUUCUUAAAUUAAACGGACUCUGGCUGCUGCCUUGAAUAUUAGGCUGUGGUGGAAGAGUGAAGCCGAAGGACCAGUUUGAAAGCUACUGCUGUAACCAGCUAAAAGAUGAUGGCGGCUUGAUUCCACCCCGUUAUCUGUGAAGGUGGUUAGAAGUGGUUAAGAUUCUGGAUAUAUUUUGAAGGUACAGCCAAAAGGAUUUCAUGACAUAUUGUGAGAGAAAGGACUCAAGUUUUAAACUUAAGUAUAAAUAACUUUUUCAUUCUUUUUUUUUUUUUUUUACUAUUCUACAUAAGAAUUACAAUAUUUUGAUUACUAAUAGCUCAUCCUAAGGCAAAAGUCACAUCCUUAAGCAAUUCACCAUCAGAAUUUACUUUGGGGACUUAAAACAUUGUUUUGAUGCUCCUUUUAAUUUUAAUUCUUACCUAAUUCAGCACUUUACAGUUAUGAGGUAAAGUUAUAUUGUUAAAUGCCACCGAGUAAUUUAAGAUUAUAUAAUACUGUUUUCCUUCUCAUCUGAAAAUAUCACCUUUGUUCAACAGGGGGAAUGUCCUUUGGAUUUUUAGCUUUUAGAGCAUAGGAACUGGAUAUGUCUUGAUAAACUAUAUAAUACAUUUAUGGAGUGCUUUAUCAUUUCUGGCAUGCUUUGAAAUAUCUUAUCGCGUCUCAUCCUCUCCACAACCCUCAGAGAAAGAAGGGCAGGAAAUAUGUGUAGGAAAUGGAAAGAGUUUAAGCGGCUGAGUAACACCGUGAGAACCCCUUCUUACAUAGGCCCUGCCUACUCACUUGAGUGCUCUGAGCUGGUUCUUAAUGAUGAAAACGGAUGGGAAACACUGUGGUCCACGUUCAUUCAAAGCUAAGUGCCCGCCCCCCUCCCCAAGGAUCCAGUCUAUGACUUUGCAUGGCCUAUGCCCCAGCCAAUGGACUAACAUUUUAUACAUCAGACUUAAUCACAUGGCCAGAAUCAUCUAGUCAUUAAUGCACCUUAAUUUUCCUCACUAUUUUUGUAUUUUCUCAUCUAUACCACCUUUCUCAUCUUUCUUAUGCAAGAGGAUCAACCAGAGCUUUGCUGGCCUCUCUACAAAGUCAUAAAGCUUGCUUUGUGGAUUGCAAUGGAAGAAUCUCAAAAAUGAACAAUGCCACCGUCAGAGUACACAUGAAAACGGGGAAAAGAAAGAUGCCACUGUCAAGAUCAACAAGGUGUGAUAGAUCCGUAUCUCUUUCUUGUUGAAUAUUGAAGCUAUCAAAGAACAACUUGCCUUGCUUUCAAGGGUCUUGUGGGAAAUCUACAUUAGCAAUGUAUACAUUAUAAACGACCUCCUGACUUCAGUGUCUUCAUCUUUUAACCUUUCACCCAAUUGCUGCAAGCACGUGGCUCGGGAAACUCUGGUGGUAAUAAACAUCAUAUUGCUGCAAGGCCUUUCCUUUCUUUGCAUUAAGCCAUACGAUUAAUUUAUACCUUUUUUUUUUUUUUUGAGGAAGUAGAAUGGAAGACUGCUUUUGGAAUUCAAAGAUAAUCUCAGCAUUUUUUUUUUUUUAAACAAUCUCGGUCAGUUUCAGGGGUAGUAGUGAGAAGGGGAGCAAAUCCAUUUAAGGAAGUAAAAGAUUUAAUUGCUGCGGGGGG